UACGUAGGUGACAAGCGUUGUCCGGAUUUACUGGGCGUAAAGAGCGCGCAGGCGGUCGAUCAAGUCGAGUGUGAAAUCGCCCGGCUCAACUGGGCGGGGUCAGCGGAUACGGUGUGGCUAGAGCAAGCUAGGGGGCAAUGGAAUUCCCGGUGUAGUGGUGGAAUGCGUAGAUAUCGGGAGGAACACCAGUGGCGAAGGCGGUUGCCUGGAGCUUUGCUGACGCUGAUGCGCGAAAGCGUGGGGAGCGAUCCGG
RNAcentral lists this ribosomal RNA (253 nucleotides) under uncultured bacterium. RNAcentral describes it as "partial 16S ribosomal RNA". It matches the Rfam family "Bacterial small subunit ribosomal RNA", at positions 524 to 776 of the family's 1533-position model. The record is from RNAcentral.